This is a long non-coding RNA of Equus quagga, 344 nucleotides long. RefSeq lists it as uncharacterized. Lineage: Eukaryota; Metazoa; Chordata; Mammalia; Perissodactyla; Equidae. The transcript is spliced from 3 exons. The record is from RefSeq and is a predicted model, not a curated record.
GAAGCUCUUUGCUGAAUUAAGCCGUGCUUAAGUGAGAACCGCUGCUUCAGAACAACACGUUCUCUGUGAAAAAAGAUGGCAAAGCCAUUUCGGUCCUAGAUACUUCUCUACUACUCUGGGUAGAAAUAUGCUCACUUUCACAGGAAUCAAUAAAUAGGAGAGAGUCUAUGGGAAGAGCUCACUCUGCCAUGAAGCUGAUGUUGCUCUUCUCUGGAAUCCUCCGGAAUUCUCUGGAAUCUGGAAUCACAUGAAGCAGAGAUGCUGGAAACCUCUGAAUCUUCUGUGAGCUUUUUAAUCCUCCUUCUCUCCUCCCUGCCCAUUUAUCAGAGUCAUUAAAUUUCAUG